Molecule: ribosomal RNA, 270 nt
Filed under: uncultured bacterium
Lineage: Bacteria
Description: partial 16S ribosomal RNA
Rfam family: Bacterial small subunit ribosomal RNA
Source: RNAcentral
GACGAACGCUGGCGGCGUGCUUAACACAUGCAAGUCGCACGGGACUGGGGGCAACUCCAGUUCAGUGGCGGACGGGUGCGUAACACGUAAGCAACAUGUCCAGGGGUGGGGGAUAGCCGGCCCAACGGCCGGGUAAUACCGCAUGCAGUGCGGGGAGGCAUCUCUCUGUACGAAAGCCGGGGCAACCUGGCGCCCAUGGAGUGGCUUGCGGCCUAUCAGCUAGUUGGUGGGGUAAUGGCUCACCAAGGCUACGACGGGUAGCUGGUCUGA